Molecule: ribosomal RNA, 402 nt
Filed under: uncultured bacterium
Lineage: Bacteria
Description: bacterial SSU rRNA
Rfam family: Bacterial small subunit ribosomal RNA
Source: RNAcentral
UCGGGAAUUUUGGGCAAUGGGCGAAAGCCUGACCCAGCAACGCCGCGUGAGGGAUGAAGUAUUUCGGUAUGUAAACCUCGAAAGAAUGGGAAGAAUAAAUGACGGUACCAUUUAUAAGCUCCGGCUAACUACGUGCCAGCAGCCGCGGUAAUACGUAGGGAGCAAGCGUUAUCCGGAUUUACUGGGUUUAAAGGGUGCGUAGGUGGGAUUAUAAGUCAGUGGUGAAAUCUCCGAGCUUAACUUGGAAACUGCCGUUGAUACUAUAGGCCUUGAAUUAUCUGGAGGUAAGCGGAACAUGUCAUGUAGCGGUGAAAUGCUUAGAUAUGACAUAGAACACCAAUUGCGAAGGCAGCUUACUACAUAUAAAUUGACGCUGAGGCACGAAAGCGUGGGGAUCAAACA